AGCAGCCGCGGUAAUUCCAGCUCCAAUAGCGUAUAUUAAAGUUGUUGCAGUUAAAAAGCUCGUAGUUGAACUUCGGGAUCAAUGGAUUGGUCAUGCCGAUGGUGUGUACUGGUCAUAUUGGUUCUCACCUUCUAAGGAACCAUAAUGUCAUUUAUUUGAUGUUGUGGGGAAUUAGGACUGUUACCUUGAAAAAUUAGAGUGCUUAAAGCAGGCUAACGCUUGAAUACAUUAGCAUGGAAUAAUGAAAUAGGACAUCGCAUUCUAUUUUGUUGGUUUCUAGGAUCGAUGUAAUGAUUAAUAGGGAUAGUUGGGGGCAUUAGUAUUCAAUUGUCAGAGGUGAAAUUCUUGGAUUUAUUGAAGACUAACUACUGCGAAAGCAUUUGCCAAGGAUGUUUUCAUUAAUCAAGAACGAAAGUUAGGGGAUCGAAGACGAUCAGAUACCGUCGUAGU
Molecule: ribosomal RNA, 450 nt
Filed under: uncultured Glomus
Lineage: Eukaryota; Fungi; Glomeromycota; Glomeromycetes; Glomerales; Glomeraceae
Description: SSU rRNA
Rfam family: Eukaryotic small subunit ribosomal RNA
Source: RNAcentral